Hordeum vulgare subsp. vulgare (domesticated barley) is the source of this 722-nucleotide long non-coding RNA. RefSeq lists it as uncharacterized. The record is from RefSeq and is a predicted model, not a curated record. NCBI's taxonomy places the organism in Eukaryota, Viridiplantae, Streptophyta, Magnoliopsida, Poales, Poaceae. The transcript is spliced from 3 exons.
ACGCAAGUGUCCGGGCAACCAUAAUCCUAUCUGCUUCCCAUUAUCCCCUCACACGCUCUCUCUGUCUCAAUUUUUGCUCGUGCCUAAGCUAUGGUCGCCAUCGCCACGUCGAUCCUAUGGCCACCGCCCUCCCCUUGUUGCGCCAAGAUGUCCAGGAGCUUUGCCGUUGUCGACUCCUUCGCCUGUGCGCAUCGGUUCGAGUAGGGGUGCACUAGAAGCUCGCCAUCUAGUCAUCUUCCCCGCCACGGCUGCCACGCCUCGUCAACGAGCUCGUCGCAUCUCAGUCGCCCCGUGCCUUCUACCCAUGUCUACGAGAUUCGCGACCUCGAGACUGACACCACUGCCGUCUAGUACGACUACAGAGUCGACGACCCCUCCUUCUCAACCGAGCAACAAGAUGGAGGAUCCCAGGAGCGAGAUGCUAUCACCAGCGACUGCCACUACCCUGACAGAGCCUACUAUCACGUGGAGGCUGCUAACGACCAGGAGUAGUUAGGAGGCUCCGAAGCAGGAGGCCUUUCCUUUUCGACCGAUAUAUCCUUUGUGCUAGCCUUAUUUAGGAAAAACUAGUUUACUUAAUGUAUGUACUUAGAUAUUGUUGCUUCCACUGACUAAUGUAUUCAAUCCCUCAUGGCCUGGCUUGUAACAUAUACCUUUAUGUUUGAAUUUGUGUCUAGAGUUAUGUUGUGAUAUUGAUGAAUGAUUCCUUGAGCUUGAACGUA